This is a long non-coding RNA of Aedes albopictus (Asian tiger mosquito), 1103 nucleotides long. RefSeq lists it as uncharacterized. The transcript has 2 exons. NCBI's taxonomy places the organism in Eukaryota, Metazoa, Arthropoda, Insecta, Diptera, Culicidae. The record is from RefSeq and is a predicted model, not a curated record.
AGUAAUAUUAUGUGUAGAUUUUUGCUGGAGACCGGAGACUCACGUCGCUGAUGGUCAGUGGCAGACAGGUUCUGUGAUGGAUCCUUAUCUGUAAAUAGAGAUGGAGUUGACCUUGGUCGACGAUGAUCAUAUAUGACCCCGAAAAUCGAUAGUAGUGUUCACUGAGACGACUUGUUUGGCCUACGAAAAUUUGAUUGGCUAUUGUCAUCUCCAUUCUCAAUGCCAAUCAAAUUUUCGUAAUUUAAGUGGGGAAUGAUGUAACAAGUACGCUUUUGCAUUCAUAAUGUUUCACUGUAAAAAUGUUAUUAUAUAUGUUUUUAUAUUUUCGUCAUUAAAAUGCAUGUAAAUUCGUUUUCUAAAUUUAUUCAUAUAUCUAAUCACCGCUACACAAGAUCAAUCAUUUCUGCUUCUAAGAGUUGCAUCUGACAUACAGUCUAUUUCUGAGUUCCCAACUACCAGUUACACGCGCUAAACUUCUGAGACCCAAGCCAACCGCGCGUCAUGAUGCUAAACGAAAUUAUCCAUUUAGCGGGCAACAACCUGCGAAGGCUUCCUUUGAAGAUGCAUUGACCUUUGCAUUUCGGCUCUGAGCAAUCCGUCCAAACUACGGAGAGAAACUUGACUGGGGGGAAUUGAAUAGACUGACAGAAAGAGAUGUCGCGAUGUCACCUAAAUUACGUGUGCACAAUUGCGAGCAGUUAAUGAUCGGGAAUCUACCUUCGGGCAGAUUCGCGACCUUCAGAGAUGAUGACCCUGAAAUCGCGACUAUCUGAGGCUUCCUUCAAUUUCAAUCAGCCACUUCGAUUCGAUCCGUGGAAGAGGCAAAAGUGGUCGGAAAUUUUGUGCCGCGUCGUGGUGUAAUUUGGAAGGUAGUGACGAUAUGGUGGCCCUAGUUAGAUAGUAAUUAAUUACCUUUCCCUUUAGAUAGAAUUCGACAUAGCGAAAUUGUAGUCGAUUAAGUGGCGGCAAAGUGCGUGAAUUGAGUGCGUUUAAGGUUCGUGGCAGCCGGGCAUUUGCCGUUACACCACCAUCCCACUAGAGACCGCUUUUGACCCCAUCGAUCGGCAUCGAAGGUCCCGGGGCACACGUGGCCGGAAGAGGGC